UCGGUCUCUUCACAAGCCCACUGGAAACUGGAGGUGGCAGAGAGGACAGAGUGUGCGUCUGGGAGCCCGUGGCUGCCUGGAGCCACAGGCUCCCAGACUGCACACUCUGUCU
This is a small nucleolar RNA of Heteronotia binoei (common prickly gecko), 112 nucleotides long. RefSeq annotates it as small nucleolar RNA SNORA17. Lineage: Eukaryota; Metazoa; Chordata; Lepidosauria; Squamata; Gekkonidae. The transcript has a single exon. The record is from RefSeq and is a predicted model, not a curated record.